RNAcentral lists this ribosomal RNA (390 nucleotides) under uncultured Cryptomonadales. RNAcentral describes it as "partial small subunit ribosomal RNA". It matches the Rfam family "Eukaryotic small subunit ribosomal RNA", at positions 30 to 432 of the family's 1831-position model. The record is from RNAcentral. Lineage: Eukaryota; Cryptophyceae; Cryptomonadales.
GCUUGUCUCAAAGAUUAAGCCAUGCAUGUCUUAGUGUAAAUAACUCUUAUGAAACUGCGAAUGGCUCAUUAAAUCAGUUAUCGUUUAUUUGAUGGUCCCUUACUACAUGGAUAACCGUAGUAAUUCUAGAGCUAAUACAUGCACAAAGGCCCGACUCACGAAGGGCUGUAUUUAUUAGAUUUAAAGCCGACAUCUUUUGGUGAUUCAUAAUAACUGUGCGAAUCGUAUUGGGCACUUGCUGCCGACGAUGGAUCAUUCAAAUUUCUGACUUAUUAACUUUCGAUGGUAAGGUAGUGGCUUACCAUGGUCGCCAUGAGUAACGGAGGAUCAGGGUUCGAUUCCGGAGAGGGGGCCUGAGAAAUGGCCACCACAUCCAAGGAAGGCAGCAGG